RNAcentral lists this ribosomal RNA (319 nucleotides) under Laspionchis boucheti. RNAcentral's name for it is "partial 28S ribosomal RNA". It matches the Rfam family "Eukaryotic large subunit ribosomal RNA", at positions 1 to 311 of the family's 3401-position model. Lineage: Eukaryota; Metazoa; Mollusca; Gastropoda; Systellommatophora; Onchidiidae. RNAcentral also lists the same sequence under 1 other name. The record is from RNAcentral.
UCCGACCUCAGAUCGGACGAGAUUACCCGCUGAAUUUAAGCAUAUAACUAAGCGGAGGAAAAGAAACUAACAAGGAUUUCCCCAGUAACGGCGAGUGAAGCGGAAAAAGCCCAGCACCGAAUCCCUCAGUGUGAUGCUGACGGGAACUGUGGUGUGUGGGACGCCACCAGUCGCAUCAGCGGGCGCCGAAGUCCUCCUGAUCGGGGCUUCACCCAUAGCGGGUGUAAGGCCUUUGCAGGUGCUUCGCUGUGCGGCCGCGAGCGUCCUAGGAGUCGGGUUGUUUGGGAAUGCAGCCCAAAGUGGGUGGUAAACUCCAUCU